ACGCUCGACACCUACGGAAGGCAGCAGUGGGGAAUAUUGCACAAUGGGGGAAACCCUGAUGCAGCGACGCCGCGUGAGUGAAGAAGUAUUUCGGUAUGUAAAGCUCUAUCAGCAGGGAAGAAAAUGACGGUACCUGAGUAAGAAGCCCCGGCUAACUACGUGCCAUCAGCCGCGGUAAUCUGAGCGGGCUGGCAAGGC
RNAcentral lists this ribosomal RNA (198 nucleotides) under uncultured bacterium. Its description in RNAcentral is "partial 16S ribosomal RNA". It matches the Rfam family "Bacterial small subunit ribosomal RNA", at positions 326 to 539 of the family's 1533-position model. The record is from RNAcentral.